AUGGGACCCAUGGGGAGAUGGAGAGAAGUAUGGCCUGCCUGCUUCACGGCAGUGAGCAGUGGCAGCGGGCAUCAAACACGCAGGACAUUUAUGCGCCCUAAUAAAACAGCAGCUGUAAUUUUCUCUCUGUUCCUUGGCAGAACCUUGGGGACCAGUGUGCCCUCUGAGUCACCUCUGGAAGGAAUGAUUCUCCCAGCAUUCCUCUUUGGAGAUCCAGGGAGCCCAAGCCGCUGGGAAGCCUGGCUGAGUCAUGGUGCUUGCGGGGUUGGGACCCCAGGGAGCCGCCUGGUCCCAUGCGAAGACAGAGUGAGAAGGUGGGGUAGAAACCUGGAAGCGGCCCUCCCCAGACGCUGCUGGCGCCCUGAUCUCAGCCCCUGGCCUGCAGAAUGGAGAGAAGUAGACCUCUGUUGUUUACGGAUCACCCAAUCUCUGGAGCUUGGUUAUAGCAGCCCAAACGGAUAAAGACAACGACAAUGAGAGAGGAAAAUAAAUCUCAGGACCCCAAAUCACUAAGCCAGAGGGAAAAAUCAAGCUGGGAACUCUGUCAGGCAAUCCUGCCUCCUGUUUAUUCCUAACUAAGACAGCUACAAAGAUAAAAAAGCUACACACCUCCCCCACAAUGUGUCCACAGGGAAUUCCCUAUGGACCUCAAGAUCUUUACUAUGAAACAGUUCUGUUGAAUUUCACCCUGGCAAUGUAAACCGAUAGCUUAUCUUCACAGGCACAGGACAGAAAGUCAUCCCUCUGCUCGCCUGAGACAGAUGCGUAUCUGAUUGCCUUCUGAUGUGAUUUGGCUCUGCGUCCCUACCCAAAUACCAUCUCAUAUGGUAACCCCCAUGCUUUGGGGGAGGGGCCUGCUGGGAGAUGACUGGAACAUGGGGUGGAUUUCUCCCUCACUGCCCUCGUGAGACUGAGGGAGUUCUCAUGAGAGCUGAUGGUUUUCAAGGGUGCACUUCCCCUGCUCCACCCUCCUGCCACCAUGUAAGGCCUGCCUGCUUCCCCUUCUGCAUGCUGGUAAGUUUCCUGAGGCCUCCCAAGCCAUGAAAAACUGUGAGCCAAUAAAACCUCUUUUCUGCAU
RNAcentral lists this long non-coding RNA (1078 nucleotides) under Callithrix jacchus (white-tufted-ear marmoset). RNAcentral describes it as "lncRNA (ENSCJAG00000077485.1)". The record is from RNAcentral. Lineage: Eukaryota; Metazoa; Chordata; Mammalia; Primates; Cebidae.